UCGGGAAUUUUGGGCAAUGGGGGAAACCCUGACCCAGCAACGCCGCGUGAAGGAUGAAGUAUUUCGGUAUGUAAACUUCGAAAGAAUAGGAAGAAUAAAUGACGGUACUAUUUAUAAGGUCCGGCUAACUACGUGCCAGCAGCCGCGGUAAUACGUAGGGACCAAGCGUUGUUCGGAUUUACUGGGCGUAAAGGGCGCGUAGGCGGCAUGACAAGUCACUUGUGAAAUCUCUGGGCUUAACCCAGAACGGCCAAGUGAUACUGUCGCGCUAGAGUGCAGAAGGGGCAAUCGGAAUUCUUGGUGUAGCGGUGAAAUGCGUAGAUAUCAAGAGGAACACCUGAGGUGAAGACGGGUUGCUGGGCUGACAAUGACGCUGAGGCGCGAAAGCCAGGGGAGCAAACGGGAUUAGAUACCCUAGUAGUCCCUGAGCGGGCUGGCAAGGCGCAU
Molecule: ribosomal RNA, 447 nt
Filed under: uncultured bacterium
Lineage: Bacteria
Description: bacterial SSU rRNA
Rfam family: Bacterial small subunit ribosomal RNA
Source: RNAcentral